Molecule: ribosomal RNA, 490 nt
Filed under: uncultured bacterium
Lineage: Bacteria
Description: partial 16S ribosomal RNA
Rfam family: Bacterial small subunit ribosomal RNA
Source: RNAcentral
AUUGAACGCUGGCGGCAGGCCUAACACAUGCAAGUCGAACGGUAACAGGAAGAAGCUUGCUUCUUUGCUGACGAGUGGCGGACGGGUGAGUAAUGUCUGGGAAACUGCCUGAUGGAGGGGGAUAACUACUGGAAACGGUAGCUAAUACCGCAUAACGUCGCAAGACCAAAGAGGGGGACCUUCGGGCCUCUUGCCAUCGGAUGUGCCCAGAUGGGAUUAGCUAGUAGGUGGGGUAACGGCUCACCUAGGCGACGAUCCCUAGCUGGUCUGAGAGGAUGACCAGCCACACUGGAACUGGGACACGGUCCAGACUCCUACGGGAGGCAGCAGUGGGGAAUAGUGCACAAUGGGCGCAAGCCUGAUGCAGCCAUGCCGCGUGUAUGAAGAAGGCCUUCGGGUUGUAAAGUACUUUCAGCGGGGAGGAAGGGAGUAAAGUUAAUACCUUUGCUCAUUGACGUUACCCGCAGAAGAAGCACCGGCUAACUCCGUG